GUUGCUCAAAUCUUCACAUACCUCUCCGUGGUGAGCAGCAGGCAACGGUCUUAUGACUGGCUGAGAUGUGAAA
RNAcentral lists this ribozyme (73 nucleotides) under unclassified sequences. RNAcentral describes it as "HDV ribozyme from F. prausnitzii". It matches the Rfam family "HDV ribozyme from F. prausnitzii". The record is from RNAcentral.